GCCGGGUGUGAUGGUGUGCACCUGUAAUCCCAGCUCCUCGGGAGGCUGAGGCAGGAGAAUCGCUUGAACCCAGGAGGUGGAGGUUGCAGUGAGCCGAGAUUGCGCCACUGCACUCCACCCUGGGUAACAGAGUGAGACUCUGUCUCAA
Molecule: small RNA, 148 nt
Filed under: Pongo abelii (Sumatran orangutan)
Lineage: Eukaryota; Metazoa; Chordata; Mammalia; Primates; Hominidae
Description: Metazoan signal recognition particle RNA (ENSPPYG00000031696.1)
Source: Rfam by way of RNAcentral